Vicugna pacos (alpaca) is the source of this 1144-nucleotide non-coding RNA. Lineage: Eukaryota; Metazoa; Chordata; Mammalia; Artiodactyla; Camelidae. The record is from RefSeq and is a predicted model, not a curated record.
UAAAGUUCAGUCGCACAAGGCUUACGUGAGCUGGGGGAAGAUGGGAUGAGCGCGGUUCACGCGGCUGCCCGGCCGAUGUCAGCGGUGUUCUAGCAGAUUUUGGGACACUGUCUAGGGAGGAGGCAGAACCUUGACAAGCUUGUGCAGCCCUGACUGAGCAGGAGAAGGUGCACUGGCGGUGGAGCAUGACCGCACGAGAACGAAGGUUCUGAAGGCGGAGACUCAGACUGCCACGUCAACUCCACGCUCUGACCGUUAUAAGAAUGUCGUUCAGGAUGAUCAGAGAAUAUCUGAACGCCUGGGAUGCCUGUCCGGGGUUUGAGUAGUCACGUUGCACAUGGCUUUGUCUUUGGCCCCGAGAGACAUCAAAAGAGGCUGCGGCUGCUGCACUUGAGGAAUUUACAGUCAGGGUGAGACAGGACAACAAACCUGAGAAAUGAGGUGUUCCACAGUGUUAUCAACAACCAGAAAGCAGGCGACUGGUAACUAUGGACGCAGCUGAAAGCACAGCUUGUAAAUCUCUCUCACAAGCUGGUUGACCAGUAGGAGGCCUGUAAGUCCCAAACAGUGUUAGAUGUUCAUCCUGGUUUGUUCACCGUCUUGUUUGUGCCUCGAGAAAGAACAGAAAUGCCAAGCCCGUGCCUUCAGUGGCAGGUUGAUGAGGUCAUCACUGAACAGAAAUAUCAUUUUGUAAAGAACAUGGCUUGGGUGGGAGUGGCGUUAACUGUCCAGCUUACCUGUUUACAUUGACACAAAUCCCUUCAUAUAAAUGCGUCGUCCAGGCAACCCCAGAGGCCUAACUUGUCUGCUGCAUCAUUAUGAGCUGUGCCCAUGAUGCGAGAGCAGACACGUUGGAGGCAUCGGGGAGAGUUGGUUCUGAGGCUGAGGGCAGUGACCGGCGAGCCACAGGAGUGGGACUGUCAGAACCACACUUCCUGUCACCCCGCUCCGCACCGCUCCCCUCCCCAAGCCAGGCUUCACCUGGACAAAUCAGGCGGCCCCAGGCAGAGGGAUCAUUAUCACACACAGAAAACCUAAUUUCAGUAAGCCAGGGUUUGAAUCCUAGUUCUACCACCACUGGCUGUGUGACUUUGAGCAAGUUACCUUGCCACUCUGAAUCUUCACUGACUUAACUACAUUCUCC